UUGAAAGUCAUUAGCCUGUUAUAAUAUUCCCUUACAACAUCUACAUCCCUCGUCAGCAGUUCUUAGCGUUGGAUUGAGACAUCUAUAAUCUCCUACAUAUCCUUUCUUGUCUGCAAAUAAGUAUUUUCUAGAACUUUUUUUUGGAACUUAUCUUCAGUGAUUAGUGCUUGGACUUUUCAUCAAAUUCACUCAGAGAAAAGGAAAGCGAAGUUGAAGAGCUAGUUGUCUCCGUCUUGAUUUUGGGUCUUCUAUUAGUUUCUCUCUCCUCUUGACUAGUCCUCCUCUAUAAACACGACAGUGAUCGGUGACGCGGGACUUAGAAGAAUCCAUGGCAUAUCUCCUUCACGUGAACGAAAAUUGAUCUCGAGACUCGGAUUCAACGAUUAUACCUCUGAGAUCAAGUAAAAUACCACCAACCUCAAAUUCUUUUAGUCAUAAAUUCAAAUUCAUACCUCAGGUUGAUACCGCUCGUCCUCUCUUUCAUUGUUUCUCUCUAGAUUUCUUUCAUCUUUAUUCUAUUUAUAUGUCAAAUUCAAGAGGGCCUCAGUUUGAGGGGGAUUGCUUCAAAUAAAAUAAUUUCAUUUUAUGUUUAGUUUGAAUAUUUUUAUUUAUUGGGAUUAUGUUUUGUAAAAAGAUGCAAGUCGUGAUAUAAGACUUCGGGCUUGAGGGGAGUGUUACAGUAUUCUAAACGAAUAGAAAUAGUUUGAUUCGCAUAAUCUUAGGAUUGAUUUGAUUAACAUAAUUAGCGGUGUUAGGAUUAUUCUAGACGCAUCAUCAGUGGUAAUCAUUGAUAUUAUUGAUUGUUUUCCUUUCUAAGGUAACAAUAUAUCCCAUAUUUCUUUGCUUUCAAGGCCAAUUUGAAAAUCAUUAGCUUGUUGUAAUAUCCCCUUACAACAUCUACCUCCCUUGUCAGCAGUUCUUUGCAUUGGGUUGUACAUCUAAUCUCCAACCAAUCCUUACUGCAAGAUGGUCUUUUCAAGCACCAUUUUUGGAACUUUUCUACAGUGAUUGGUGUUUGGACUUUUCAUCAGAUUCACUCAGAGAAAAACAAAGCGGAGUCGAAUGGCUAGUUGUCUCGGUCUUGAAUUUGGAUCUUCUAUCAGUUUAUUUCUCCUCUUAAAUGGUUAUCCUCAUCUGUAAACACAACAAUCUGGUGACACAGUGGACUUUGGAAGAAUUCAUGGCAGAUCUCCUUCUAGCACCCCACAUGAACGAAAAUUGAUCUUAAGACUCAGGAUUCGCCUACCUCAAAUUCUUUUUUAGUUGCAAAAUCAAAUUCAUACAUUGAUACCGCUCUUGCUCUCUUUCAUUGUUUCUCUAUCUAAAUUUCUUUGAUGCUUUUUAUUAUUAUUAUUCGUGCAAUUUGAAGAGAGCCUCAAUUUUGAGGGAGUUGUUGGGAAUAAAUAAUUUUGUUUGAAUCUUUUUAUUUUGGGGAUUAUAUUUUGUAACAAGUUGUAAGUCGUGAUAUAAGACUUCUAGCUUGAGGGGUAGUGUUAAGAGUAUCCUAUAGGAAUAUAAAAUUAGUUUGAUUAGCAUAAUCUUAAGAUUGACUUGAGUUACAUAAUUAGUGGUGUUUGGAUUAUUCUAGAUGCAUGCAAUGUCACUGGUAAUCAUUAAUAUUCUUGAUUGAUUUCUUUUUCAAGGUAGCAAUUUAUCCCAUCUUUCUUUGCUUUAAAGGCCAAAUUAAAAAUCAUUAGCUUGUUGUAAUAUCCCCGUGCGACAUUUACCUACCUUGUCAAUAGUUCUUUACAUUGGAUUAUACAUCUAUAAUCUUCAACCAAUCAUUUCUUCUUUGCAAGAUAGGUCUUUUCGAGCACCUUUUUUGACCUUGUCUUCAGUGAUUGGUGCUUGUACUUUUCAUCCGUCACUCGGAGAAAAAGAAAGCGGAAUCGAAGGGCAAGUCAUCUCCGUCUUGACUUUGGGUAUUCUAUCAGUUUAUCAAUCCUCUUAACUAGUCCCGUAUUCUAUCAGUUUAUCUUGCCUCUUGACUAGUUCUCCUUUAUAAACGCGGUGGUGACUAGUGAUGUGAUGGACUUUUAGUAGAAUCCAUUGUAGUUAUCCUUCUUCUAACACCCCACAUGAACAAAAUUUGAUCUUGAGACUCAAAUUCAACGAUUAUAUUUCCAAAAUCGAGUAAAAUAUAGUCUAUCAUAAAUUCUUUUUUAAUCGCAAAAUCAAAUUCAUACCUUUCACUGAAACCGUUCGUGUUUUCUUUCAUUGUUUCUCUCUCCAGAUUUCCUUUAUUCCUUUUUUUUUAGUUUGGACAAAUUGAAAAGGAACUCAAUUUGAGGGGGAGUGUUGGAGAUAAAAUAAUUUCACUAUAUGUUACAUUUAAAUCUUUGAAUUUUUGGAUUAUGUUUUGUAACAAACUGUAAGCCAUGAUAUAAGACAUCCAGCUCGAGGAGAAAUGUGUAUUUUCCUCUAGAAUUAGUUUGAUUCGGAUAAUCUUGCAUUGAUUUGAUUGACAUAAUUAGUCGUGUUAAGAUUAUACUAGAUGCAUGGUCAGUGGUAAUCAUUGACAUCACUAAUUGAUUUCUUUUCCAUGUUUAGCUUUAAAUUUUAGUUGCUUUCCCUUGUAACAGUCUUUUAGCUCUCAUAAAUUACAUUAAUUUUGUAUGCAAGAAAUAAAUAUCCAGAAAAAAAAAACACACACACACACACUUACACUUGUGCCUUGCACUUGCACGGGAUUUUUAAGCAGUUAGCCUAAUGUACCAAUUAUUAACUUAAGGAUCCUCUAGAUUAGUUCCAAACAGAGCUUAGUUCCGACACUUUCAAAUAGGCCACUCUCUCGUACCAUUUGUUAUGAUCGAUCCCCAAAUGAACCUGGUCCACUAGUACAAAAACCCCAGGGUCAACUGAGCCUACCACUAGUGCACCCACCUAAAAUCUUGCGUGGAAGACAACACUGAGACAAGUAAUACAUUAUUAUCAAAAGAGGGAAGUAAAAACAUUAUUAUCAAAAGAGGCAAGUAAUUACAUUAUUAUCAAAAGAUGAAAGUAAACCACCAUAAUAUAUUUUGGGGAGCACUCUUUACACAAUCUAUUUGUGCUAGCUCCACAAGUUUUCUUUCACAUAAAAAUGGGUGGGACCCACCUCACUCACAUGUGAGAGGAAGAGUUGUGAAAUUUUCAAAAAUGUAUAUCUAUAGAGACUUGUGGAAACCCUAUAUUUUCAACAAAAAAUAAUAUUUUGCAGCCAUGGAUAAAUAUUUAAAUCUGCAACAGUAGACAAAAUGAAAGCAAGUAAAUGACCAUGAAUACCAACGAGCAAGGUUUUUAAAACCGAACCGGUCAUCGAACCGGAAAAGUUACCGGGUGGAUGAAUCACUGGUCCAACCAGUGGUCGGAUCGUUAUUGACCCAGUGACGUCAUU
This 3376-nucleotide long non-coding RNA is filed under the name Panax ginseng (ginseng). Its description in RNAcentral is "long non-coding RNA (PGIN_LNC001453)". Lineage: Eukaryota; Viridiplantae; Streptophyta; Magnoliopsida; Apiales; Araliaceae. The record is from RNAcentral.